This 983-nucleotide ribosomal RNA is filed under the name Plasmodium berghei. RNAcentral's name for it is "eukaryotic LSU rRNA". It matches the Rfam family "Eukaryotic large subunit ribosomal RNA", at positions 1 to 890 of the family's 3401-position model. Lineage: Eukaryota; Apicomplexa; Aconoidasida; Haemosporida; Plasmodiidae. The record is from RNAcentral.
UUUUAUUAUGCUGGGAGGGCAUAUCCGCCGAAUUUAAGCAUAUAAUUAAGCGGAAGAAAAGAAAAUAACAAUGAUUCCUUUAGUAACGGCGAGUGAACAAGGAAAAGCUCAAAAGGAAAAUCCGCUUUGUGGUUAAAACCGCAGUGUGGAAUUGUCUGGUUGGGAUUUAGUCCUUUCUAUGUUUUUGUUGGGUGCGAAAUUAGUAGGAAUACUAUUCCUUAGAGGGUGAAAGGCCCGUAGUUCCUAACAAUUAUAGAUGGACUGUUUCCUGUAGAGUCGUGUUCUUUGAGAUUGGAGCACAAAUGUGUGUGAUACAUUUCACAUAAAGCUAAAUAUUUGUAGGAGACCGAUAGCAAACAAGUACCGUGAGGGAAAGAUGAAAUAGUACUCAGGAAUGAGGUUUAAAUAGUACCUGAAAUCGUUAAGAUGGAACGGAUUGAGAGAGAAAUAACGUAAGAUGGGAUUUAUUUCUAUGUUUCUUUUGGAUUCAUGUUUUAAUUUCUAUCUUAUUAAAAGGAGCAUCAGUGAAUUUUUGCAUUUGCAUUAUAGUUAAAGGGUUAUUUUUGCUUAUGUAAAGAUAUCGCAUUUCCUUCCGCUAAUAUGGUUGGAAAAAUAACUAUUAUUGCUUGCUAUGUUUACUGAGGAUAUCAAUUAGCUGGGGUUGCCCCUGUUAAUUUAUGUUGCUUCUAAAAAGUACUUUCUUAACCCACUCGUCUUGAAACACGGACCAAGGAGUCUAACAAAUGUGCGAGCGUAUAUAUGUUACGAACUAUAACAGAGAAUGAAAAUUCUUAUAUUUACGCGUAAUUAAUGUAAUUAAUUGGUAGAUCUUUAGGGUGUUUCCCUAAUUUGCAUACCAUGCCGGUUGGCGAUUAUGCUUAAUUGAGUAUGAGUAUAUUUGUUAGGACCCGAGAGGCUUUGAACUAAGCGUGAUGAGAUUGAAGUCAGACGAAAGUCUGAUGGAGGAUCGAAUUGAUACUGAC